This 855-nucleotide ribosomal RNA is filed under the name uncultured archaeon. Its description in RNAcentral is "bacterial SSU rRNA". It matches the Rfam family "Archaeal small subunit ribosomal RNA", at positions 39 to 899 of the family's 1478-position model. The record is from RNAcentral.
UUCGAUUAAGCCAUGCGAGUCGCGAGUCUUAGGGACUCGGCGUACCGCUCAGUAACACGUGGGUAACCUGCCCUAUGCUGGGGAAUAACCUCGGGAAACUGAGAAUAAUGCCCCAUAGUUCACCACGCCUGGAACGGUGGGUGGAUGAAAGCUCCGGCGGCAUAGGAUGGGCCUGCGGCGUAUCAGGUCGUAGGGGGUGUAAUGUACCCUCUAGCCAUCGACGCGUACGGGUGUUGGGAGACAUUGCCCGGAGAUGGAUUCUGAGACACGAAUCCAGACCCUACGGGGUGCAGCAGGCGCGAAAACUUGGCAAUGCGAGAAAUCGUGACCAGGGAACUCCAAGUGCAUCGGGUAAGACCGAUGCUUUUCUUGACUCUUCAAAGGUCUUGGAAUAAGGGGUGGGUAAGGACGGUGCCAGCCGCCGCGGUAAUACCGGCGCCUCAAGUGGUAGUCGCUUUUAUUGGGCCUAAAACGUCCGUAGCCGGUUUGGUACAUUCGUGGGUAAAUCAAGGCGCUCAACGUCUUGAAUUCUGCGAGCACGGCCAGACUUGGGACCGGGUGAGGUGUGGGGUACUCUCAGGGUAGGGGUAAAAUCCUGUCAUCCUGAGAGGACCACCUGUUGCGAAGGCGCCACACUAGAACGGAUCCGACGGUCAGGGACGAAGCCUAGGGGCACGAACCGGAUUAGAUACCCGGGUAGUCCUAGGUGUAAACGCUGUGGACUUGAUGUUGGGAGUGCUCCGAGCACCCUCAGUGUCGAAGCGAAGGUGAUAAGUCCACUGCCUGGGGAGUACGGUCGCAAGGCUGAAACUUAAAGGAAUUGGCGGGGGAGCACUGCAACCUGAGGAUUGUGCG